Molecule: long non-coding RNA, 1125 nt
Organism: Bombyx mandarina (wild silkworm)
Lineage: Eukaryota; Metazoa; Arthropoda; Insecta; Lepidoptera; Bombycidae
Source: RefSeq, a predicted model, not a curated record
CACCUUUGAUAAUAGACGACUCAUAUAUGAUGCGUUAAAGAAUUAUUAACUAAUUAUUAAAUAUCAUUAUAAUAAUAAUCUCUAAAUAGUAUGGCACAUCAAAUCUUUAUAGAUUUAUUUUAUGUUCUUAUUUUAUACUUUAAUCCAAUGGUCGUCACUCUUUUAUAGGACAAUGUGAGGUAUCACUGCGGGACACACCUUUCUGGACUGUUUAGUUGACCACCAGUCAAUUGACAUAUUUAAUAUCAAUUAUCAAUAGGCUAUUGUUCUAUAGAUAAAUCAAUUAAAAUUAUUAUUUAUGCAACGUGGGUAGCUUAUUGAUUAGGAACAGGCGUGAAAACAUAUCUGUAAUGAAAAAGAUGGUAAAUAUAUUAUAACAGUAUUUUUUAUUUCUACUAAAUUUGUUUGCUCUGCCACGGCUUUAAUCAGUUUACAAUUUGCAAGGCUUUUUGAAUACUUGCAUCACCGAUUUUACAUAAGCAACAUGUAAUAUACACACAUAUGCCAUAUUGAACGGUAAAAAUGUUUUUAAAUGAGUAAAAUCAUUUUUAAACUACCCCCCAUUGUGCCAAUCGAUUGUAUGAUAACUUAAUUACUUCAAUUGCAUUGUUGCACUCAAAUUAUUUUCUCUCAACGACAUUCCAUUAAAUUCAAUUUCUUUCAAUUUCCGCAUUAACCUAACUCUUACAAGCUAAUUUUUGUGGAAUUUUAUAAUACGAAAAAAAAAAUAGUAGAUUCUAAGGCCAAAUACAUAUUGUAUGCAUCGUUAUAAAAACAUUAUAAUAACUAUAUUAUUAUUUACACCAGCCUUUCUCGAAGCGGGUCCCUGGAGGUCACGUGGUUACCGGGACCUUAAGGUAUCAGAUUCUUUGAAGAUAUUCACUUAAAACUUAAAAGAGGUAUUUUUUAUCUUAUAAGAUAAAAAAAUUUUUUUUUCAAAUAGGUAAAAUUGCAUGUAAAUCUUUUUAUAUAUUAUAUUAAAGGAUAUCUCUUGCAAACUGUGGCUGGGAGAAGCGAUAAAUUUUAAAAUGUAUUAAACUGAGUUGUGACGUCAUCGAACAACAAGAAAUGCGAACAUAGCGAUACAAAAGAACUAAAGGAGAUAUCUAUUAAAGUAAUAAAACC